CUGUAAGACUCUCGAGUGCUUGAAUCUGGAAUGGCUCAGUGCAUUCCUACAGUGCUUGCAACAAAAGUUUUAAAACAGUAUGUCACUGUUAUUGCAAAUGC
This 101-nucleotide small nucleolar RNA is filed under the name Echinops telfairi (small Madagascar hedgehog). Its description in RNAcentral is "Small nucleolar RNA SNORA9 (ENSETEG00000026394.1)". The record is from RNAcentral. Lineage: Eukaryota; Metazoa; Chordata; Mammalia; Afrosoricida; Tenrecidae.